Molecule: non-coding RNA, 324 nt
Organism: Callorhinus ursinus (northern fur seal)
Lineage: Eukaryota; Metazoa; Chordata; Mammalia; Carnivora; Otariidae
Source: RefSeq, a predicted model, not a curated record
AACCAGCUGAGCCCCAACCCUUGCAGCUGGGACAGGAGACCAGCCCCGGGUUCCCCAGGUGUUCCCAUUCAGAGAUCAGGAGAGAACACAGACAACUCACCAUGGAGUUUGCACUUGGCUGGGUUUUCCUUGUUGCUCUUUUAUAAGGUGUCCAUUCUGAGGUGCAGCUGGUGGAGUCUGUGGGAGACCUGGUGAAGCCUGGAGGGUCCCUGAGACCCUCCUGUGCCGCCUCUGGAUUCACUUUCAUUGACUAUGGCAUGAGCUGGGUCCGCUAACCUCCAGGGAAGGGGCUACACUGGGUCGCAACUAUUAGCUAUGAUGGAA